UACGUAGGAUGCAAGCGUUGUUCGGAAUUACUGGGCGUAAAGAGUACGUAGGCGGUAAUGUAAGUCUGAUAUUAAAGACCAAAGCUUAACUUCGGGACUGUAUUGGAAACUGCAUUACUAGAGGACAAUAGAGGAAGUUGGAAUUCUCAGUGUAGCGGUGAAAUGCGUAGAUAUUGGGAAGGACACCAGUGGCGAAAGCGAACUUCUGGGUUGUUACUGACGCUGAGGUACGAAAGCGUGGGGAGCAAACGGG
Molecule: ribosomal RNA, 253 nt
Filed under: uncultured bacterium
Lineage: Bacteria
Description: partial 16S ribosomal RNA
Rfam family: Bacterial small subunit ribosomal RNA
Source: RNAcentral